AAGAACUAACAGGAUUCCCCUAGUAACUGCGAGUGAAGCGGGAAGAGCUCAAAUUUAAAAUCUGGCGGCUUCUAGUCGUCCGAGUUGUAACCUGGAGAGGCAUUUUCCGCGUUGGACCGUGUACAAGUCUCCUGGAAUGGAGCGUCAUAGAGGGUGAGAAUCCCGUCCAUGACACGGACCGCCAAUGCUCUGUGAUAUGCCUUCGAAGAGUCGCGUUGUUUGGGAAUGCAGCGCAAAAUGGGUGGUAAAUUCCAUCUAAAGCUAAAUAUUGGCGAGAGACCGAUAGCGAACAAGUACCGUGAGGGAAAGAUGAAAAGCACUUUGGAAAGAGAGUUAAACAGUACGUGAAAUUGUUGAAAGGGAAGCGCUUGAAGUCAGUCGUGUUCCGUGGAACUCAGCCUUACCUCGGUUUGGUGUACUUUCCAUUUGAACGGGUCAACGUCAAUUUUGGCCGGUGGACAAAGACAAGGGGAAUGUAGCGUUGCUUCGGUGACGUGUUAUAGACCCUUGUUGUAUACACCGGUUAGGAUUGAGGACUGCAGCACGCCCUUGUGGCCGGGGGUUCGCCCCACGUAACGUGCUUAGGAUGUUGGCAUAAUGGCUUUAAGCGACCCGUCUUGAAACACGGACCAAGGAGUCUAACAUGCUUGCGAGUGUUCGGGUGGAAAACCCUUGCGCGUAAUGAAAGUGAAAGUUAGGAACCUUCUCGCAUGGGAGGGUGCACUGACGCCCGGCCCUGACGUUCUCUGACGGUGCUGCGGUAGAGCAAGUGCGUUGGGACCCGAAAGAUGGUGAACUAUGCCUGAAUAGGGCGAAGCCAGAGGAAACUCUGGUGGAGGCUCGUAGCGAUUCUGACGUGCAAAUCGAUCGUCAAAUUUGGGUAUAGGGGCGAAAGACUAAUCGAACCAUCUAGUAGCUGGUUCCUGCCGAAUUUCCCCUCAGGAAAAAA
RNAcentral lists this ribosomal RNA (949 nucleotides) under Fulvifomes kawakamii. Its description in RNAcentral is "partial large subunit ribosomal RNA". It matches the Rfam family "Eukaryotic large subunit ribosomal RNA", at positions 56 to 983 of the family's 3401-position model. The record is from RNAcentral. Lineage: Eukaryota; Fungi; Basidiomycota; Agaricomycetes; Hymenochaetales; Hymenochaetaceae.